This 2266-nucleotide ribosomal RNA is filed under the name Pseudoalteromonas sp. SG41-8. RNAcentral's name for it is "partial 23S ribosomal RNA". It matches the Rfam family "Bacterial large subunit ribosomal RNA", at positions 697 to 2925 of the family's 2925-position model. The record is from RNAcentral. Lineage: Bacteria; Pseudomonadati; Pseudomonadota; Gammaproteobacteria; Alteromonadales; Pseudoalteromonadaceae.
UAGUUGCAAGGUAUAGACCCGAAACCCGGUGAUCUAGCCAUGGGCAGGUUGAAGGUUGAGUAACAUCAACUGGAGGACCGAACCCACUAACGUUGAAAAGUUAGGGGAUGACCUGUGGCUAGGAGUGAAAGGCUAAUCAAACCGGGAGAUAGCUGGUUCUCCCCGAAAUCUAUUUAGGUAGAGCCUCGGACGAAUACUUACGGGGGUAGAGCACUGUUAAGGCUAGGGGGUCAUCCCGACUUACCAACCCUUUGCAAACUCCGAAUACCGUAAAGUAAUAUCCGGGAGACACACGGCGGGUGCUAACGUCCGUCGUGAAGAGGGAAACAACCCAGACCGCCAGCUAAGGUCCCAAAGUCAUAGUUAAGUGGGAAACGAUGUGGAAAGGCCCAGACAGCCAGGAGGUUGGCUUAGAAGCAGCCAUCCUUUAAAGAAAGCGUAAUAGCUCACUGGUCGAGUCGGUCUGCGCGGAAGAUGUAACGGGGCUAAACUAUGCACCGAAGCUGCGGAUUCAGAAUUUAUUCUGAGUGGUAGGGGAGCGUUCUGUAAGCGGUUGAAGGUGUACCGGGAGGUAUGCUGGACGUAUCAGAAGUGCGAAUGCUGACAUGAGUAACGAUAAUGCGGGUGAAAAACCCGCACGCCGGAAGACCAAGGGUUCCUAUCCCAUGUUAAUCAGGGUAGGGUAAGUCGACCCCUAAGGCGAGGCCGAAAGGCGUAGUCGAUGGGAAACGGAUUAAUAUUUCCGUACUUGGUAUAAUUGCGAUGGGGGGACGGAGCAGGCUAAGCAAGCAUGGCGUUGGUAGUCCAUGUGAAAGUGAGUAGGCUAGCGACUUAGGUAAAUCCGGGUUGCUGUUAGGCUGAGACACGAGACGAGUCACUAAGGUGAUGAAGUUGCUGAUGCCAUACUUCCAGGAAAAGCCUCUAAGCUUCAGAUUAUACCGAAUCGUACCCCAAACCGACACAGGUGGUCAGGUAGAGAAUACUAAGGCGCUUGAGAGAACUCGGGUGAAGGAACUAGGCAAAAUCGUACCGUAACUUCGGGAGAAGGUACGCUCCGAUUGGUGAUGGGACUUGCUCCCUAAGCUGAUUGGAGCCGCAGUGACCAGGUGGCUGGGACUGUUUAUUAAAAACACAGCACUGUGCAAAAUCGCAAGAUGACGUAUACGGUGUGACACCUGCCCGGUGCCGGAAGGUUAAUUGAUGGGGUUAUCUUCGGAGAAGCUCUUGAUCGAAGCCCCGGUAAACGGCGGCCGUAACUAUAACGGUCCUAAGGUAGCGAAAUUCCUUGUCGGGUAAGUUCCGACCUGCACGAAUGGUGUAACCAUGGCCACGCUGUCUCCACCCGAGACUCAGUGAAAUUGAAAUCGCAGUGAAGAUGCUGUGUACCCGCGGCUAGACGGAAAGACCCCGUGAACCUUUACUACAGCUUGGCACUGAACAUUGAACCUACAUGUGUAGGAUAGGUGGGAGACUUAGAAGAUGAGACGCUAGUUUUGUUGGAGUCGUCCUUGAAAUACCACCCUUGUAGUUUUGAUGUUCUAACGUUGGCCCCUGAAUCGGGGUUACGGACAGUGCCUGGUGGGUAGUUUGACUGGGGCGGUCUCCUCCCAAAGAGUAACGGAGGAGCACGAAGGUUGGCUAAGUACGGUCGGACAUCGUACGGUUAGUGUAAUGGUAGAAGCCAGCUUAACUGCGAGACAGACACGUCGAGCAGGUACGAAAGUAGGUCAUAGUGAUCCGGUGGUUCUGAAUGGAAGGGCCAUCGCUCAACGGAUAAAAGGUACUCCGGGGAUAACAGGCUGAUACCGCCCAAGAGUUCAUAUCGACGGCGGUGUUUGGCACCUCGAUGUCGGCUCAUCACAUCCUGGGGCUGAAGUCGGUCCCAAGGGUAUGGCUGUUCGCCAUUUAAAGUGGUACGCGAGCUGGGUUUAGAACGUCGUGAGACAGUUCGGUCCCUAUCUGCCGUGGGCGUUUGAGAAUUGAGAGGGGUUGCUCCUAGUACGAGAGGACCGGAGUGAACGAACCGCUGGUGUUCGGGUUGUCAUGCCAAUGGCAUUGCCCGGUAGCUACGUUCGGAACUGAUAAGCGCUGAAAGCAUCUAAGCGCGAAGCAGGCCUCGAGAUGAGUUCUCACUAGAGCUUUAAGCUCUCUGAAGGGCCGUUGAAGACUACAACGUUGAUAGGCAAGAUGUGGAAGCAUAGUGAUAUGUUAAGCUAACUUGUACUAAUUACCCGUGAGGCUUAACCAUACAACGCCAAACGCGUUU